AUACGGAGGGUGCAAGCGUUACUCGGAAUCACUGGGCGUAAAGCGCGCGCAGGCGGCUUGAUAAGUUGGAUGUGAAAGCCUACGGCUCAACCGUAGAACUGCAUCCAAAACUGUCAAGCUAGAGUCUGGGAGGGGAAGAUGGAAUUAGUUGUGUAGGGGUAAAAUCCGUAGAGAUAACUAGGAAUACAAAAAGCGAAGGCGAUCUUCUGGAACAGUACUGACGCUGAGGCGCGAAAGCGUGGGGAGCAAACAGGAUUAGAAACCCGAGUAGUCC
This 274-nucleotide ribosomal RNA is filed under the name uncultured bacterium. RNAcentral describes it as "partial 16S ribosomal RNA". It matches the Rfam family "Bacterial small subunit ribosomal RNA", at positions 523 to 796 of the family's 1533-position model. The record is from RNAcentral.